RNAcentral lists this ribosomal RNA (264 nucleotides) under Pseudomonas plecoglossicida. RNAcentral describes it as "partial 16S ribosomal RNA". It matches the Rfam family "Bacterial small subunit ribosomal RNA", at positions 563 to 823 of the family's 1533-position model. The record is from RNAcentral. Lineage: Bacteria; Pseudomonadati; Pseudomonadota; Gammaproteobacteria; Pseudomonadales; Pseudomonadaceae.
CGUAAGCGCGCGCAGGCGGUUUCUUAAGUCUGAUGUGAAAGCCCCCGCCUCAACCGGGGAGGGGCAUUGGAAACUGGGGAACUUGAGUGCAGAAGAGGAUGGCGGAAUUCCACGUGUAGCGGUGAAAUGCGUAGAUAUGUGAAGGAACACCAGUGGCGAAGGCGACCUCCUGGACUGAAACUGACUCUGAGGCGCGAAAGCGUGGGGAGCAAACAGGAUUAGAUACCCUGGUAGUCCACGCCGUAAACGAUGUCUGCUAGGCGU